RNAcentral lists this ribosomal RNA (434 nucleotides) under uncultured Mobilitalea sp. RNAcentral's name for it is "partial 16S ribosomal RNA". It matches the Rfam family "Bacterial small subunit ribosomal RNA", at positions 341 to 792 of the family's 1533-position model. The record is from RNAcentral. Lineage: Bacteria; Bacillati; Bacillota; Clostridia; Lachnospirales; Lachnospiraceae.
ACGGGAGGCAGCAGUGGGGAAUAUUGGACAAUGGGGGCAACCCUGAUCCAGCGACGCCGCGUGAGUGGAGAAGUAUUUCGGUAUGUAAAGCUCUAUCAGCAGGGACGAUAAUGACGGUACCUGACUAAGAAGCCCCGGCUAACUACGUGCCAGCAGCCGUGGUAAUACGUAGGGGGCAAGCGUUAUCCGGAUUUACUGGGUGUAAAGGGAGUGUAGGUGGCUAUGUAAGUCAGAUGUGAAAACCCGGGGCUCAACCCCGUGACUGCAUUUGAAACUGCGUAACUAGAGUGCAGGAGAGGUAAGUGGAAUUCCUAGUGUAGCGGUGAAAUGCGUAGAUAUUAGGAGGAACACCAGUGGCGAAGGCGGCUUACUGGACUGUAACUGACACUGAGGCUCGAAAGCGUGGGGAGCAAACAGGAUUAGAUACCCUGGUA